UCAGCUGUCCUAUACAACGACAGCGAGCUAGCCUCCGUUUUGUUUAACAAACUAGAAGUGACGUCACCCAACAUCGCUUAGAGCAG
Long non-coding RNA from Etheostoma cragini (Arkansas darter), 86 nucleotides. RefSeq lists it as uncharacterized. Lineage: Eukaryota; Metazoa; Chordata; Actinopteri; Perciformes; Percidae. The transcript has 4 exons. The record is from RefSeq and is a predicted model, not a curated record.